This 253-nucleotide ribosomal RNA is filed under the name uncultured bacterium. RNAcentral describes it as "partial 16S ribosomal RNA". It matches the Rfam family "Bacterial small subunit ribosomal RNA", at positions 524 to 776 of the family's 1533-position model. The record is from RNAcentral.
UACGGAGGGGGCUAGCGUUGUUCGGAAUUACUGGGCGUAAAGCGCACGUAGGCGGCUUUGUAAGUUAGAGGUGAAAGCCCAGGGCUUAACCCUGGAAUUGCCUUUGAGACUGCAUCGCUAGAAUUGUGGAGAGGUAAGUGGAAUUCCGAGUGUAGAGGUGAAAUUCGUAGAUAUUCGGAAGAACACCAGUGGCGAAGGCGACUUACUGGACACAUAUUGACGCUGAGGUGCGAAAGCGUGGGGAGCAAACAGG